Molecule: ribosomal RNA, 253 nt
Filed under: uncultured bacterium
Lineage: Bacteria
Description: partial 16S ribosomal RNA
Rfam family: Bacterial small subunit ribosomal RNA
Source: RNAcentral
UACGAGGGGUGCGAGCGUUGCUCGGAAUUAUUGGGCGUAAAGGGUAGGUAGGUGGUCUUAUUUGUCUGGGGUGAAAGCCUUGAGCUUAACUCAAGAAGUGCCCCAGAAACGGUAAGACUAGAGUCUUGGAGAGGGUCGUGGAAUUCCCGGUGUAGCGGUGAAAUGCGUAGAGAUCGGGAGGAACACCAGAGGCGAAGGCGGCGACCUGGACAAGUACUGACGCUGAGGAGCGAAAGCGUGGGGAGCGAACAGG